CACGCAGCACGCACAUCACACCCACGUCGAAAGGAAGAUUCCCGUAUAUCACCUGAGGCUUGGACACGGUGGCGCCUUCUCCAGAAGGAGCCGUGGAACACUUCGUGAGCUCAACUCGGCCACGGACGAACACAGAAACGUGAAGGGAUCAGGCUCUCGGAAGCAGGCGCAUCUGCGGCCAUGCAGCGAUGGCCGUGCAGACGGUGUUGUCGCGCGGCAACGUUAGGCUCGCGCACCUUUGUGCUUGUGCGCCGUCGUGUGCCGAGCGAAUGCAUCGCCUCUUCCUCCCACGCGUCUUCCAGCGCAGCGCCGCCGCGGACAGUGGCGCAUCAGCGUUCUUGUAUUAUCAUUCCGCCGGUGGAAAGGCUGACGACGCCACCGAGUCCGCGACUGUCGCGCCGCUAUGUUGACUCGCAGACUCUGGACGACGGUAGAACGCAGCAGGCGAAUGCACAGGAGCCUGAUCAUUUUCGGUUUGCCAUCAAGAACAGCGAGAGGGGACUGCUCGACCACGGCGUCACCCCCGACGCGAUCGCCUUCAUCGCUGAGGCCGAAGAGGAGUACCGGGCAAGCUCGUCCUACCUGCACGACCGGCCCGGUGGCGCUGGCAUGCCUGAGUCGGAGACGCACGUGAAUGAAGUGACGGGCCAGCAGGUUACCACGACCCGGAUUGCGGCGCCGUUCGGGGAGACCUACGUACCCUCCAAUCGAGAGCGGUUUGCGGAGCGGCAGCGCGUGGGCGAGUUGAGUCGGCAGCGCGACCUCGUCGACAAGCCAUUUAUGCUGGACGAGCACGCACAGCUGAACCUGCGAAAGGAGCGUCAGCUGUGCGAGCUGCUAGCCUCUCCUAUGCCCCAGCUUGCGAAAGCGGACGAGGUGGCGCAUUUCCUGCUUAAUGGUGUCUACGCACAGAGCCUGGCACUGCAGCCACGGACGUGUGAGUCGGUAAUGUUGCUCUACUCUCACGCGAGUUUUCUCCGUCGGCUGGAGGGGCCAACGAAGCAGCUGACGGGCCGCGCGCACGACGCAGCCCGGCUGGCAGCCCCGUCUGGCGGGGCAGACAUCCCUGCAGUGCCGCGGACGCCGCAGGAUGUACCGUUUCUGGAUGACAUGCGGCGCCUGUACACCCAUCAGAAGCGCUGCUUUAUCAGUCCGACACCCCUUUCACUGGAGCAUCUCAUGACAACACUCAGCGUCAUUACGGCACCGAGCACGACCGCAUUCCAUCUCGCCAACCGACUUCUCCUCGAUGCGGACAAGUUUGUUCUGCUGCCGACACGCACGACGUACACGGCAUACUUUACCGUAUGCCACGUGAACAACGCGAUGCAGUUCGCGAUGGCGCGUUACACAGACGCCGUGCAAGCGCUGCAGCUUCCCGUCGACGCGCCGAUGCUGACAGCGCUGCUUAAGGGCUUGAACGAGAGCGGCUACGUAGAGGAGGCGGUUUCGCUGCUGUCGCGAAUGGGGCACGUUGCGGUGUCCACGCCGCUCCUGAAUGCGUCGCUGGAGACGCUGCUGCUCUCGGAGCAGGCGCUCGCUUGCUUCUCCCUCUACGAUGCCAUGCGUGGGUCCUCGGUGAAGCCGAACGCAGAGACGUACACGCUGCUUUUGCUCGCUUGCGAGAAGUCGCAGCAGUGGCGCCGUGUGACGGCAAUUCUCGCUGAGAUGCAACGCCGCCGUGUGCGUGGUAAUGAACAGACGCUAAACCUGCUGCUAAAGGGUCUGUUGCAGGAGCGACUGCACAGUUUUGCCGCCCAGCUAUAUCACACGAUGCUGGCGAAGAAGGUGCCCUUGUGGCCAGCGCUGGAGCUCGGCGUGCGGCCGCUGCUGCGGUAAACUGAAGCGAGCGAGCGUUGCCUGCACCUGUGAGGUGAAUCAGGAGGUACCUCUCGUCUCGGCUCGGCUCUCCCGCCCUCCUCCUGCAUCGCUUCUGUUUCUCUUGCGCUCCCCCCCGCGCAUGCACCGGUACGCUCACAUGACACUAAAAGAAUUACGAGUUAUCGAAGCUUCUGCGCCCGAGCGCCUCUUAUACGUGCGCCUGCUUGUGUGGAAGUUAGCAUGCUGCGUUCUUUUUCGGGGUUAGGGGCGGAGCUAGCGGCUCUUACUCCCCCUUUGCGUUGUUUCGCGUGCUCGACGUCAAGCCGCAUGCACAAGAGCGGGUGGUGGAUGGUGGGGCGAUGUCACAAGCACCGUAUUACUCUUGCCUCUUG
This 2213-nucleotide unclassified non-coding RNA is filed under the name Leishmania donovani. RNAcentral describes it as "gene:LdHU3.20.0650(CDS-product:kinetoplast_riboso mal_PPR-repeat_containing_protein_3_putative)". Lineage: Eukaryota; Euglenozoa; Kinetoplastea; Trypanosomatida; Trypanosomatidae. The record is from RNAcentral.